UACGCAGGGAGCAAGCGCUAUCCGGAUUCUCUGUCUUUAAUGGCUGCGUAUUCGGAUUGAUAGGUCACUGGUGAAAGAUCCCAGCUUAAAUUGCAACCUGCCUUUGAAACUGCCCUUCUUGUAUGUCGUACACUUCACUUUAAUGGUGCCUGUGUCGCUGAAGUGCUUACAUGUGUUACAGAACACCUGUUGCGAUGGCAUCUUACUAUGCUUAUGAUUGACGCUGACGGACGAACGCGUGUGAAGCCCACAGGAUUACCAUACCCUGCUAGUCCACGCCCUAUGACGAUGAUUACUCGAUGUUGGCGCUAUACUCUCAGCGUGUUAGCGACAGCCAUAAGUAAUCCACCUCGGGAGUACGCUCGCACAGAGUGUCCUCUAAGGAAUUGACGGGGGUCCCCACAACCGGUGGAGUAUGUGGUGUAACUUGAUGAUACGCGAACGAACCUUCCCAAGGUUAGAAUGUUUCCGGCCCGCCGCCGAAAGGUGGCUCUCUCUUCGGAGCCCGACAGCAAGGUGCUGCAUGGCGGUCGUCACCUCGUGCCGUGAGAAAGGGCGCUAGGUCCCACUACGCGCGCAAUCCGCCAUAGUUAGUUCAGCAUCAGGAUAUGCUGGGGCCUCUCGCUAAACCGCCCGCGUAAGCCGUGAGGAAGGCGGGGGCGACGUCAAGUCAUCAUGGCCCUUACACCUUUGGCUACACACCUACUACACUGGCCGGUUCAAAGGGUCCUAUCCCAGCGACGAGAAGCUAAUCUCAAAAAGCCGGUCUCAGUUCGGAUCGGAGUAUGCAACUUGAGUCCAAGCAGUCGGAAUCCGUAGUAAUUGCAGACCAGAAUUCCGCGGAGAAUACGCUCCCGGACCA
This 862-nucleotide ribosomal RNA is filed under the name uncultured bacterium. RNAcentral describes it as "SSU rRNA". It matches the Rfam family "Bacterial small subunit ribosomal RNA", at positions 524 to 1381 of the family's 1533-position model. The record is from RNAcentral.